RNAcentral lists this ribosomal RNA (207 nucleotides) under uncultured bacterium. Its description in RNAcentral is "partial 16S ribosomal RNA". It matches the Rfam family "Bacterial small subunit ribosomal RNA", at positions 568 to 774 of the family's 1533-position model. The record is from RNAcentral.
CGCGUAGGCGGUUUGUUAAGUCGGAUGUGAAAGCCCCGGGCUCAACCUGGGAAUUGCAUUCGAUACUGGCCGACUAGAGUACGAGAGAGGGAGGUAGAAUUCCACGUGUAGCGGUGAAAUGCGUAGAUAUGUGGAGGAAUACCGGUGGCGAAGGCGGCCUUCUGGCUCGAUACUGACGCUGAGGUGCGAAAGCGUGGGUAGCAAACA